This 490-nucleotide ribosomal RNA is filed under the name uncultured bacterium. RNAcentral's name for it is "partial 16S ribosomal RNA". It matches the Rfam family "Bacterial small subunit ribosomal RNA", at positions 30 to 507 of the family's 1533-position model. The record is from RNAcentral.
AUUGAACGCUGGCGGCAUGCCUUACACAUGCCAGUCGAACGGCAGCAUGAUCUAGCUUGCUAGAUUGAUGGCGAGUGGCGAACGGGUGAGUAAUACAUCGGAACGUGCCCUGUAGUGGGGGAUAACUAGUCGAAAGAUUAGCUAAUACCGCAUACGACCUGAGGGUGAAAGUGGGGGACCGCAAGGCCUCAUGCUAUAGGAGCGGCCGAUGUCUGAUUAGCUAGUUGGUGAGGUAAAGGCUCACCAAGGCGACGAUCAGUAGCUGGUCUGAGAGGACGAUCAGCCACACUGGGACUGAGACACGGCCCCGACUCCUACGGGAGGCAGCAGUGGGGAAUUUUGGACAAUGGGCGAAAGCCUGAUCCAGCAAUGCCGCGUGUGUGAAGAAGGCCUUCGGGUUGUAAAGCACUUUUGUCCGGAAAGAAAUGGCUCUGGUUAAUACCUGGGGUCGAUGACGGUACCGGAAGAAUAAGGACCGGCUAACUACGUG